This 484-nucleotide ribosomal RNA is filed under the name uncultured bacterium. RNAcentral's name for it is "partial 16S ribosomal RNA". It matches the Rfam family "Bacterial small subunit ribosomal RNA", at positions 30 to 507 of the family's 1533-position model. The record is from RNAcentral.
AUUGAACGCUGGCGGCAGGCCUAACACAUGCAAGUCGAGCGGAUGAAGGGAGCUUGCUCCUGGAUUCAGCGGCGGACGGGUGAGUAAUGCCUAGGAAUCUGCCUGGUAGUGGGGGAUAACGUCCGGAAACGGGCGCUAAUACCGCAUACGUCCUGAGGGAGAAAGUGGGGGAUCUUCGGACCUCACGCCAUCAGAUGAGCCUAGGUCGGAUUAGCUAGUUGGUGGGGUAAAGGCCUACCACGGCGACGAUCCGUCACUGAUCUGCGAGGAUGAACAGUCACACUGGAACUGAGGCACGGUCCUGCCUGCGUCGGGAGGCAGCUGUAGGGCAUAUUGGACACUAGGCGAAAGCAUGAUCCAGACAUGCCGUGUGUGUGAAGAAGGUAUUCGGAUUGGGAAGCACAUUAAGUUAGGAGGGAGGGCAGUAAGUUAAUACCUUGCUGUUUUGGCGUUACCAUCAGAAUAAGCAACGGCUAACUUCGUG